CCUACGGGUGGCUGCAGUGGGGAAUAUUGCACAAUGGGCGCAAGCCUGAUGCAGCCAUGCCGCGUGUGUGAAGAAGGCCUUCGGGUUGUAAAGCACUUUCAGCGGGGAGGAAGGCGUUAAGGUUAAUAACCUUGGCGAUUGACGUUACCCGCGGAAGAAGCACCGGCUAACUCCGUGCCAGCAGCCGCGGUAAUACGGAGGGUGCAAGCGUUAAUCGGAAUUACUGGGCGUAAAGCGCACGCAGGCGGUCUGUCAAGUCGGAUGUGAAAUCCCCGGGCUCAACCUGGGAACUGCAUUCGAAACUGGCAGGCUAGAGUCUUGUAGAGGGGGGUAGAAUUCCAGGUGUAGCGGUGAAAUGCGUAGAGAUCUGGAGGAAUACCGGUGGCGAAGGCGGCCCCCUGGACAAAGACUGACGCUCAGGUGCGAAAGCGUGGGGAGCAAACAGGAUUAGAUACCCCGGUAGUC
RNAcentral lists this ribosomal RNA (465 nucleotides) under uncultured Klebsiella sp. RNAcentral's name for it is "bacterial SSU rRNA". It matches the Rfam family "Bacterial small subunit ribosomal RNA", at positions 338 to 795 of the family's 1533-position model. Lineage: Bacteria; Pseudomonadati; Pseudomonadota; Gammaproteobacteria; Enterobacterales; Enterobacteriaceae. The record is from RNAcentral.